AUUGAACGCUGGCGGCAUGCCUUACACAUGCAAGUCGAACGGUAACGCGGGGCAACCUGGCGACGAGUGGCGAACGGGUGAGUAAAGCAUCGGAACGUGCCCAGUAGUGGGGGAUAGCCCGGCGAAAGCCGGAUUAAUACCGCAUACGACCUACGGGUGAAAGGGGGGGAUCGCAAGACCUCUCGCUAUUGGAGCGGCCGAUGUCAGAUUAGGUAGUUGGUGGGGUAAAGGCCUACCAAGCCGACGAUCUGUAGCUGGUCUGAGAGGACGACCAGCCACACUGGGACUGAGACACGGCCCAGACUCCUACGGGAGGCAGCAGUGGGGGAAUUUUGGACAAUGGGCGCAAGCCUGAUCCCGCCAUGCCGCGUGCGGGAAGAAGGCCU
This 386-nucleotide ribosomal RNA is filed under the name uncultured bacterium. RNAcentral describes it as "bacterial SSU rRNA". It matches the Rfam family "Bacterial small subunit ribosomal RNA", at positions 29 to 417 of the family's 1533-position model. The record is from RNAcentral.